RNAcentral lists this long non-coding RNA (1187 nucleotides) under Homo sapiens (human). RNAcentral describes it as "HSALNT0031113". Lineage: Eukaryota; Metazoa; Chordata; Mammalia; Primates; Hominidae. The record is from RNAcentral.
CAGGAGGGGAGAACUCACCCAGACAGACUGUGUGUCAGCUGUGGAUGUUACUCCCUGUCUCAGCCAGAAGAAUUGAUGAAAUUCACACACUCCAAAGACCAGCAAGUGAGAACGGGCUUCUCCUCCAACUGGAUGGCUCCAGUUCUAUACAUGAAACCCUGACCUUUAGAAGCACCACUGACGGCUACUUCAACUUAUACCUCCGUGUUUCCAGUCCAUGAUGAAUUUUUGGGAAAGAGAGCUCUUUUCUCACAGUUGAAAACACUGGCAGCCUGCAGAUGUGGAAGUCUCAGCUGGGAAACAUGAAAUCUUUCGAUAUCCCAAAAGCACACACCUUGGAAGAUAAACUUUACCCAUGACUAACUAAAGUCAUUCUUAAGAGAAAAUUAUGGAGAGGAUUAACAUGCUUCAUCCCUUUCUCUCAGCUUCCUGAUUAGGACCUUCUAGAGUUACAUAAAUCACUUCUUGCUCUAGCCAGCCUGACUCCAAGCAUCAACACACCAUUGUUGCCUGGGCAUUUUUUCAGCCUAGCCAAUAAAAACUCCCAAGUCAUCCUGGAACUUUUGGAGAUGACUGAGAUGCAAGAAAAAAAACACGGUAGACUUUAACAAACUGUACAACUGGGGACAACCAGCGGGAAGGUUUUGGAAGGCUGGGGGUAAAGAGGUGGCCUGACCAUAAUUAAGGGCAAGUCCUGCCAGCAAACCCGUGCCCAUUUUAAGAGAGGGAUGGCGGUUUUCCCAGGCGGAAGCUGGGUGCCAGGGCUCAUUCCAUAGACAAAUGCUGUCCUCUCUCCCCUCCUUAAAAUGAACAUUGUCAGGAACAGGAAGGGCACAGGCGUGGUUCUGGAAAGAUCUCAGUUCCAGUCCCAGCUCAUCGUUUGUGCCUAUUUCCUCAUCUGUCAAAGAAAGAUAUCCCAGGACCCUGCCUGUCGCAAAAGCACCAUGAAGAUAAAGUAAGAUCAUGGACAAAGGACUUUGUAAAGCAAUUUAAAAGUUGUAUGUGUGCUACAUGCCAGGCACUGUGCUAAAGGCCAUACAUGUUUUAACUAAAUUCUUGCGGCAGUCUUCUAAGGGAAGUAUUAUUUCCACUGCGCAAAGGAGAACACCAGGAUUCACUGGCAUUGUUAAUAUUUGCUGGAAGUUUAAAAAACCAAAUAAAUGUCUGAAAAGUAAAUGUUCAAAAUG